This 497-nucleotide ribosomal RNA is filed under the name uncultured bacterium. RNAcentral's name for it is "partial 16S ribosomal RNA". It matches the Rfam family "Bacterial small subunit ribosomal RNA", at positions 28 to 507 of the family's 1533-position model. The record is from RNAcentral.
GAUGAACGCUGGCGGCGUGCCUAAUACAUGCAAGUCGAGCGAACAGACGAGGAGCUUGCUCCUCUGACGUUAGCGGCGGACGGGUGAGUAACACGUGGAUAACCUACCUAUAAGACUGGGAUAACUUCGGGAAACCGGAGCUAAUACCGGAUAAUAUAUUGAACCGCAUGGUUCAAUAGUGAAAGACGGUUUUGCUGUCACUUAUAGAUGGAUCCGCGCCGCAUUAGCUAGUUGGUAAGGUAACGGCUUACCAAGGCAACGAUGCGUAGCCGACCGGAGAGGGUGAUCGGCCACACUGGAACUGAGACACCGUCCAGACUCCUACGGGAGGCAGCAGUAGGGAAUCUUCCGCAAUGGGCGAAAGCUUGAUGGAGCAACGCCGCGUGAGUGAUGAAGGUCUUCGGAUCGUAAAACUCUGUUAUUAGUGAAGAACAAAUGUGUAAGUAACUAUGCACGUCUUGACGGUACCUAAUCAGAAAGCCACGGCUAACUACGUG